RNAcentral lists this ribosomal RNA (182 nucleotides) under Escherichia fergusonii. Its description in RNAcentral is "partial 16S ribosomal RNA". It matches the Rfam family "Bacterial small subunit ribosomal RNA", at positions 1 to 176 of the family's 1533-position model. The record is from RNAcentral. Lineage: Bacteria; Pseudomonadati; Pseudomonadota; Gammaproteobacteria; Enterobacterales; Enterobacteriaceae.
AAAUUGAAGAGUUUGAUCAUGGCUCAGAUUGAACGCUGGCGGCAGGCCUAACACAUGCAAGUCGAACGGUAGCAGGAAGAAGCUUGCUUCUUUGCUGACGAGUGGCGGACGGGUGAGUAAUGUCUGGGAAACUGCCCGAUGGAGGGGGAUAACUACUGGAAACGGUAGCUAAUACCGCAUAA